UACGUAGGGACCAAGCGUUGUUCGGAUUUACUGGGCGUAAAGGGCGCGUAGGCGGCAUGUUAAGUCAGCUGUGAAAUCUCCGAGCUUAACUCGGAACUGUCAGCUGAUACUGAUGUGCUAGAGUGCAGAAGGGGCAAUCGGAAUUCUUGGUGUAGCGGUGAAAUGCGUAGAUAUCAAGAGGAACACCUGAGGUGAAGACGGGUUGCUGGGCUGACACUGACGCUGACAGCGCGAAAGCCAGGGGAGCAAACGGG
Molecule: ribosomal RNA, 254 nt
Filed under: uncultured bacterium
Lineage: Bacteria
Description: partial 16S ribosomal RNA
Rfam family: Bacterial small subunit ribosomal RNA
Source: RNAcentral